AACGAACGCUGGCGGCAUGCCUAACACAUGCAAGUCGAACGAGACCUUCGGGUCUAGUGGCGCACGGGUGCGUAACGCGUGGGAACCUGCCCUUAGGUUCGGAAUAACUCCCCGAAAGGGGUGCUAAUACCGGAUAAUGUCUUCGGACCAAAGAUUUAUCGCCUUGGGAUGGGGGCGCGUUGGAUUAGCUAGUUGGUAGGGUAAAAGCCUACCAAGGGGACGAUCCAUAGCUGGUGUGAGAGGAUGAUCAGCCACACUGGGACUGAGACACGGCCCAGACUCCUACGGGAGGCAGCAGUGGGGAAUAUUGGACAAUGGGCGAAAGCCUGAUACAGCAAUGCCGCGUGAGUGAUGAAGGCCUUAGGGUUGUAAAGCUCUUUUACCCGGGAUGAUAAUGACAGUACCGGGAGAAUAAGCUCCGGCUAACUCCGUG
This 433-nucleotide ribosomal RNA is filed under the name uncultured bacterium. RNAcentral's name for it is "partial 16S ribosomal RNA". It matches the Rfam family "Bacterial small subunit ribosomal RNA", at positions 29 to 507 of the family's 1533-position model. The record is from RNAcentral.